CACAUUUCAAUACCAAAAAUCCAACAAAAAUACUAUACUAUUCAUUUAUACCAAUAUUUCUAUUUUAUUUUUAUUUUUUAUAUCACACUUUCACACAUGUGACUUUCUUUUCCAUUUAAUUUUUUUUCCUUUCUCUUUCUUCACCAAACAGCAACACACACAGGACACAUUCUCAACCUUCUCAUCACUUGUCUCCGGCUUCUCUCCCUCACCACAUGUAUUUAGCGCCUUGCCACCUUCGUUAAGCUCACUUUUCCUCUUCUCUGCAUUGUGGAUUUAUUUUUCUUGACAUCUUGCUUUUAGAGUUUCAUCUUCAAUUCAUAGAAAAUCUGAUUUUAAAAGUUCACAGUCCGGAUUGAUAUAGCCUUACUCCGGUCUACAAUCUAUGACCGAACCGCACCGCCGCUGUUCUCCCUCGACCACAAUACAAUUGCCACGGCCGCUCUUCUCUGUCGAUCGAUUUCUGUUUUUCGCUCUUCUCCGUUGUUCUCUCUUUUCGGCAGAAAAUGUAAAUGUUCAAGUCUAACAUUAUUUGGAAAACGGAUGGACAAUGACAUUUGCCAAAGGAACCCAUGCUUAUUUGAUAAGUGAAUGAUAGUCUAUGUAUUUGGUAUUCUAGACGAUGAGGCAUUAAAAUGCGUACUAUGAAUUAUCAUGGGGCGUUGUAGAAGUAUUAACUUGGUUGCAUUUCUUUGAAGUGUUGGUGCUACCAUUGAAAGCUUUCUCUUUGUAAGAGGUGUGCAUAGUACUACAUGUGAGUAUACGUGCUUUUUGGCAUAGUGCUUCAAUUAAGCAAACUGGUAUAAGAUGUACAUGUCAAUCUGUUCUCUUUUUUUAAUGAAUGAAAUCUUCUAAAUCAUGUGAUUAAUUUUGAAUUGAUUCAUUUGAUUACUAUACAAAAGUUGGACUAAGAAAGAAAAUAGAUGCUCACUGAGGCCUUGAAGGAAUAAGGAUAAAAAAUGGGCUAAGCUCAUUGUAACAGUUGUCAUAAUAUUCUUGCAUUUUUAGGUUGGUUCAUUGAAUGCGGUGCUUAGAUCAAUCGACUUAUUUAGGAUUGAUACUUAUCAUUGGGAAUGCAAGCUGAUAAACUAAUUGGUUAACUCAAUCACAGGACAAGAUUCACCAGUUUGCAUGAAAUUUGUAAAUUAGUGGUAGUACAUGAUGAAUUGUAAUUUUAUUGUAAAAUUGUGUUAAGACAUGAUGAGUUGUAGUUCCAUUGUAAAGUGUUAUCAAUUUGUUAGUACAAGUUUGUAAAUUUUGUAUUUGGGUAUAAUGAAAUAAGGUUAUUUUGUUUCA
Molecule: long non-coding RNA, 1296 nt
Organism: Trifolium pratense (red clover)
Lineage: Eukaryota; Viridiplantae; Streptophyta; Magnoliopsida; Fabales; Fabaceae
Exons: 2
Source: RefSeq, a predicted model, not a curated record